Molecule: ribosomal RNA, 164 nt
Filed under: uncultured bacterium
Lineage: Bacteria
Description: partial 16S ribosomal RNA
Rfam family: Bacterial small subunit ribosomal RNA
Source: RNAcentral
UAGGGAAUCUUCCACAAUGGACGAAAGUCUGAUGGAGCAACGCCGCGUGAGUGAAGAAGGGUUUCGGCUCGUAAAACUCUGUUGUUAAAGAAGAACAUAUCUGAGAGUAACUGUUCGGGUAUUGACGGUAUUUAACCAGAAAGCCACGGCUAACUACGUGCCAU